UACGAACCGUGCGAACGUUGUUCGGAAUCACUGGGCUUAAAGGGCGCGUAGGCGGUUCGGCAAGUCCGGGGUGAAAGCCCCCAGCUCAACUGGGGAACGGCCUUGGAAACUGCCGGUCUAGAGGGAGGUAGGGGCAUGUGGAACUUCGGGUGGAGCGGUGAAAUGCGUUGAUAUCCGAAGGAACGCCGGUGGCGAAAGCGACGUGCUGGAUCUCUUCUGACGCUGAGGCGCGAAAGCUAGGGGAGCAAACGGG
This 253-nucleotide ribosomal RNA is filed under the name uncultured bacterium. RNAcentral describes it as "partial 16S ribosomal RNA". It matches the Rfam family "Bacterial small subunit ribosomal RNA", at positions 524 to 776 of the family's 1533-position model. The record is from RNAcentral.